Gallus gallus (chicken) is the source of this 6803-nucleotide long non-coding RNA. RefSeq lists it as uncharacterized. The record is from RefSeq and is a predicted model, not a curated record. Lineage: Eukaryota; Metazoa; Chordata; Aves; Galliformes; Phasianidae. The transcript is spliced from 16 exons.
CUUAAAUAGCUGUGUGUUAUAAAUGUGUUCACACAUGCACGUGUACCAGUACAUUCCAUUCGUGAAACCUACAGCCCAAUCUGAAUAGAGCCGAUCCAUAUGCAUGUGUGAGUUAAGAUGAAGAAAAGCAAAUGACUAAUUGAUGGGAGCACCUCUACCUGAAACUAUGAAAAGUAUGUAUCAUGUCUGCUAGAAUGGUGAGAGUAGCGAGGUGUAUUGUGGAUCUUCACUGUAAGCAGCAGUGAGCAGGCUGUAGCUGAGCAGGGGUGGGACUGGGACAUCAGGCCAAAAUGGUGCACAGUGCCUGCCUGCACAUGCCAUUGAUUGAGAUCCCCUGUUUAAGGAGGAGUGAUCAAGUGUUUUGGAUGGCUAAUAGCAUCAUGGGUAUUUUUCAAACAAAACAAGCUUAGAAAUAGUAUACAAAAAGUCUUUUUUUUUUUUUUUUUUUUUUAAUGUACUUUAGAGCUUGGGUACAAAAUCCUCUCAUUUGACUACUUUUUUUGUUUUCUUUCUCCAGGUACUCUUGGACUACAUAGCCUUUAGUCCGGCGUUGAUACAGAUAAGCAGACUUGUUAGGGAUUUUUGGGUAGACGUGCAGCUUGAAAGGUCUAGGAUGUUCAGUUCAGGUGCACAGUCAGUUUGGUAUGAAGACAGUUCUCAUUUCUGAUCCUCACUUAUGUCGUGCUGCAAAGCAACCAGGGUGGAACCUUUGUGCAGACAGGGGAAUGUUCCACUUGUUGUUCCUCCCAGGGAAUGUUUGGAAAAUGGAAUCUACCUACUUUAUGGCUGCUGGUGUGAAUUUAACCCAGCUCCAGUGAUGCAGCUGCGUUGUUGUAUAGUCCUUUGAAAGCCUCUCAGUGGAGUCAUGGCAAAUGUCUGAACACUGUAUGGCCCAUGCAGGUUAUGAACAUGCAGUUGUCCAAUGCAGCAUCUGUACAGCACCUUCAAUAGCUAUUUGUGUAACCUAAAGUCCUGAUCUUCACACACCAGAAGAUAAUUAUAGAAUGUACCUGGACACCACACAUCUUGGUUGUGCAGCCCUACACUUGAGAAUGCCUGAAAGGAGACUGUAUUUCAGAGAUGAGGAGCAGAGCCGUCAGCAAGAGGAUCUCCUGUUCCGCACAGCUGGGGAAAGAAGGAAGCAAGUCACCAAGUCCUGGUGUAAAUUUCUGAACAAAUGCUUCAGAGAAGGUUGUGUGCAUUCACCCUUUAUUUAAUGGUACUCUGGAAGGUAAGACGUGCAUUCCACAGGAGGGUGAUGCUCCAAUUGUGGCAGGUUUAAAAGCUAUGAAGCAACGUUCCAUGUAUUUCUUUGUCUUUUGGAAACAAGGACCAAUAGUUGGCAUUCUCUGAUGAAGAGGUGAAUUUUGGUGAUUGUCAGAUCUGACUAGAGAAAUGGAAAUCCUUUGAACUGAGCAAUAAAUUAUUCUGUUAAUUACUUAAUUCAUGGGCACGUGAAAGAGUCCUGGAAGAGUUGGCAGAGCAACUGAAUAACUCCCAGGUUCAGGCUUUUUAUUACCAUUAUCUUAUAAUUGCUGAUUGGCACAGGGUUCUGCACACUGCUCCCUAGGGAAGUCAGCAGUACGUGUGUCUGAGUGGUGAGAUUCCUAGACAGCGAUUUAUGCAGUGGUUUUGAUAGAUAGAAGAAGGCAGUAAGAGUUUAUUAGCAGAGUAUCAUUGUUGGGGGGUUUGGGGCAUAUGAAUUCCCUUGCUGAUGAAUGAAAAGAAUAAAACCGAAAUAAGAAGAGUAGCAAUUGUGAGGCAAUCAUUUACUCUAGAAAGAAGGUGGAAAUAUUUGAUCAUGUUCACAGCUUUGUCAUUUUGCUUUCUUUGCUUGUGACUCUAUCAGUAGAAAGGCUGAAUAUCACUAACUAGAGGGGAAAUCAACGGUGUGUUUAAAUGUUUAAUUGUAAUGCUUCUUCCUAAGUAAACCUCCAUUUAAUGUUUAAAGGACUAAAAAUGCAAAGUACGCAUCAAUAAAACAACAUAGUUUUAACUUCUAAUUAAGUUUUAACUUUGCAUUUUCACAGAUGUCAAAGCUACUACUCUAAUUAGUGUCUUUGUUGUUGUUGUUGUUGUUAUUUAGCAAUUAGCUAACUUAUUUGUAAUGAACAAUGAAGAGACUGGAAAAGAAAUGCAACCCACUGCAGUGCAAAUUUUGUUUCCCCUCUAUCAUGAGUUUCAAAAAAAUAUAUAUAUUAAAAUUUCUUCCAGUUUAAUCUUGCUGUGCCAGUUCAUUAGGGCACUCCUAAGGGUUACUGAGGGUUGUAUUCUGAAUGCUCAGUGCUCCCAGGCAGAUGUGUUAAAUCAGGUUAGUACAUGUCACCUCUCCUGCUCUGGAUAAUCUGUGAUAAGAACACUUAGAUUUAUAUUAAAACUGAACUUUUCAUUUCCAUGGGACUUUAUAAUUCUGAAACAGUCUCUUUUCAUGUUUGUGUUACUCUUUCUACUCCUUGAACUUAUUUAUUUUAAUAAUAGCUCGGAAGCUACAGAACAAUGGCAGAAUUCAUGCUAAUAGGUUAUUAAAAAAAGCCAGACCUUUAAUUGCAGGCAGUUAACACAAAAUCUGUUGGCAUUGUCUUGAACAGAAUGAUAGCAUUUAAUCAUUUUUAUCAUUAUAGCAUUCUUGUUAUAGCAUCCAAAGUUAUUGCUAGGGAGUUGUCACACAUUUUUUAUGAUAAAUUCUUAGAGUUUAUAACUUAACUGUAAAAACAUGCUCCAGGUUGAAACGUGACAGAGAAUUCUGAAUAUGAGACUGAACAUUGUUUCUGUUUUUAAAACAAGAAAACUACAAUAAUCAUAAUAAUGAAAACAAAACAAACCAAGAAAAAAGCAAAUUAAAACACCUCAAAGUGAGCAUUUAAUAGGUAUGAACUGAAAUUCCAUCCAGAAAAUGCCCUUUUCAGCAGAGAAUCUUUUGUUAUUUUCCUUGCUUUCCUGCCCCAAAGUGCACACUUCAGAACAAAGGAAAAAAGUUUAAUUUAAUGUUAAGUUUUCUGAGAACUUUGCCUCUAAAGAAGGAUGUUUUAGAACUAUGGAAAGAGAACUAUGAAUUUGAAGGAUGGGGGUUGUUGCAAAGGAAACCUCUUCUACUCUGAGCAUGUCUUUGCAAAUCAAGGAUUCUCCAUAGUAUUAAAAAAUUUAGUGUAGACCCCUAAAAGGUGGAGCUAUUUUACAGAACUGUUGGUGAGGUGGGAAAGCAAGACAGUAUUUCUUCCCUAUAAAUAGAGCAGACUCUCAGGAAAAAUGAAAAUCCCACGAAUCCUAUUAAAUCCGUCAGACUGAUCUGGUACAACAGAGAAAAGAAGUUGGACUUAGAAAGAAAGAAAUCGUGACCUCACAGCCAAGAGCCGUGUAUUCAUCUGAGACCCUGGCACUCUGAUUUCACAGGGCAAAGUGGCUUCUUAAUGAAAUGACACAUCUGUGUGCAGCCUUUUAACAUGCUGGUAAGGAGCAAGGUACUAACCUGUGCUCUACCCACUGAACUUUAUCACCUAGCUUUGGUGAACAAUCCGUUAUGUGCGCAACACCAGACAAGCAUAACUAGCAUUGUACUGAUGCGUGCCGUGGGUGCCCGCUGUGUGGUCACGCAAUGCGUAACACUGUAUUUCUGUUUGAUUUUGACAGUUUGUUCAUUUCUUCUCCAUUUGUGAGCCAGCAGACAGGGGAACAGAAUCCGGCUAUGUGCGUGACUUUAAAAGGUGCCGUUGGAUUGCAAAGAAAGACAGCUUACAAUUUGUCUUACUGAGCUGCAUUGGAAACCAGAUCGAAAGUAUAUUUUUGUUGUUCAGGGGCUGUAGCACUGAGGCAGUAUGGACUAAAGUCUGUUAGCCUAUCCUAGUUCCUGUGCGUAGAUGAGUAUGUACAGUUCUUCCAUGUUGCAUCCAGUUAGUAAGAAGGGUACACAAGCAUGCUGAAAUUUGAAGGAAAACAACCCUCAUUUGCCCAUCUCCCACAGACCAGCCAGUGCUCUGCUCCUCAUCAGCCCUCUCUGAGGACUGUGGGAAUGAGCAGGGUGCCCAUGAUGUUCCCUGUGCUUUGUUGGCUGCCAGCUGGAGCUGCUGGCUUGGUGACUACACUGUGCUUCUGUAGCUUCAGGAGCUGGCAUCAGGUGCCUCACUCACCAGGAUGCCUGCUGCUCUGUUGGAUGUCCCUGGAGGCUCUUCAGUGGUGAUUUCAAACUGGGUUUCCAGCUGCAUGGAUGUGAUGACAGCACACAGUAAGAGCAUGGCCCUACUCCCGCCUGGAAUUUCCCAGGUAAAUAUGUUGCCAAGGCUUCUAGAAGGUGUGGAGUUUGCUGCAUAUGCUCUGGCCAGGUAUGAAGGACAAAUCCAGUCCUCUUGAGAUUUAUUUUACCUGAAAGCUCUGGAAACCCUGAACAAGUAUAUAAAUUCCUUGAAUUUCACUGGAGAAAACCUUCUGGGUCGAAGACUCAGUAAGGGCUGUGAAACACUGGAACAGGUUGCUCAGAGAGGUGGUGGAUGCUCCAUCCUUUGUGAUGUUCAAGUUUGAGCUGGACAGGGCUCUGAACACCUGAUCUAGCUGUAGGUAUUCCUGUUCAUUGCAUGAGAGUUGGACUGGAUGACUCUUAAAAGUCCCAACUCAGAUGAUUCUGUGACAUCCCUAGGGAAGCCCAGAAGUUGGGAUACUUUCUUCGUUUUCCUCCUGCCAAUGUGCUAUUGGACAGGCUUUCCACCUCCUGUUCUAGAGCUGCACUCGUUUCUUCAAUUUUUCCUACUCCAUCUUUUGUCCAAAUUGCUAAAAGCAGUAGAAGAUAGCAUAUUCCUCUGCUGAGCUGAGCAAUCAUUGUAAUUCCAGGGUUCAACAUUUUAAUUCUCAACUACCUGUUUUUGUUUAGUUAAUGAAAAAAGAGGUGGGGACCUGUUGUGAAGCACUGAAGGAUUUGAGACCCAGAGUACCUUAAACAAAUCUAAGAAAACUUCGUUAAAAAAAGAAAAAGAGAGACCAAAAACCAAGAAGGAAAAAUAGUACUCUUGACUCCAGCCUUGGCAUUGUUGAGGCGACAGAGCUGGUAACAUGCUGGAAACAGGGAUUCCUCAUAGACCACCCAGAAGAACACAUCUCAGGUCUGCUUCGUGGACUCUACGUGCAGACUCCAUUUGGAGGUGCAGAAAUCCUUUUGUGGUACAGUGGGGCCAACAGCAGAACCAAGGAAUGUGGGGAAAACUGCCUCUGCAACAAGAACAUCAGAUCUUUUCUCUCCUCACUGAACAUCCUGCGUUCUCCCCUCAGGACUCAAGAAAAGCUCAGUGGAGAAGGGCAGGAGAGUGUUUAAGGAAGAAUUUGAACAAUGAAGUAACUUUGCUGCUGUUGGCAGAGAACCUUUCUGCAGCCUGAGGAACCAACCGGGAGAAGCCAUGAAAGUGUGUGUUUAAAAAAACACAGUGAAGAGACUCCAGCCAGUGCCUUUCAUACCUACAGCUAUCCACGUGCUUUCAGCUGUACCACAGUCCAAUUUGUGCCCUGUAUAGUGUCAGUCUGCUAAUGGAGAAAUUACAGAGGGGAGGGCCCGUGCAGCCCAGCUGAACGCAGGGAUUGUGGAGGCAGGAUGCUACCUUUGCAUAAUAUUACUGCUGCUGUGCCGUGAAUCUGGAUUUGGCUGACCCAGACAGUCUUGGGAGAUACAGUCAUUCAUCAGUGGUGCACGAGUGUGAGAGCAGAAAUGGUUUUUGUAACCAUUUGGAGUCUCAACGAAAUGCCGACAGAAUUCCAAGGAACCUUCUUCUGGUUCUUUUGGCCAAGAGAAGACCUACCUCUCAGUGCAAGAAAAACCCUGUCUGUCAACAGUGGAAAGUCCCAGGUCUACUUGAUCUUGUCCAUUUGGCACUGCUGGAGGAAUAACAAGUUUCUUCCCGUCAUGCACCAUUCUGGGAUACAUCAUGACAGAGAAAUCUCAAAGCCCAGGUCAAUUAUAACAGAAGAUGUGUAGCACCUCUGCCCCCAUGGUGUCUUCUGGGGAUCUACCUGGCAAAAUGAUAUAAAACUAUUUCUGAAGACAUCCCAUGAUCUGGCGCUACUCAGAACUAAGUCACCAGCAAAAUGUACAGCACUGAUGUUAAAGUUUUCCAAGAUCAUUGGUGUCCUACAUUAUUAAUCAAGUGCCUCAGAAAUAAUUCGCCUGUUGACAGACGAUAAAAUUGAAUUCCUGUCUUCAAAGUAUGGUCAGAGCUCAUCUGUAUAGCAUGGAGUGUGGAUGAAGGCUACUAGGCUGCAGUUCAACUGGUGAGGAUUUGCUAGUUCACUUGAAGGUCAAAAGAAGCAGCUGAUGGAACUGGAAAGGUUGCAGUUGCUGGGCUGAAGUGAAAGACAUCAGACUUGCCAACAGAGAGACUUCAACCAGGAUCCUCAGCAUCCCCGAUGGAUGGUGUGCCUGCAGAACUGCUGGCUGGUAAAAUCUUUAGAAAGCAGCUAGAACCAUCCUUGUUUCCAGAGGACCUUCAACCCGCAGUGAAAGGGAGGUGCUGUUACAGUGUAUGAUUCUGUACAGAAUAUGCCACUUACAGCUGCCAUCAGAAGUGCUUAUUUUGCCAAUGGAAUUUAAAUGACAUCUGGGUGUGAGCCUUGCCUCAAUACUGCAGCCUGGAGAUGGCAGAAUCCCCAGCAGGAAAAAGGCUCGGAUAGCAAGUGCUGCGGUAGAGGCAAGGAGACUGGGUAGGAACUGGGACCAUAUCUACUGUAUGGAGCUCUGCUCAGAUCCAAAGCAGGAUGUGAGUCCCUCUCAGAGCCUUGCUAUGGACUCCUGUGUUUAUUAGGAGCAGACACUUCUGUGCAGGUGAAAUCGC